Molecule: ribosomal RNA, 466 nt
Filed under: uncultured bacterium
Lineage: Bacteria
Description: partial 16S ribosomal RNA
Rfam family: Bacterial small subunit ribosomal RNA
Source: RNAcentral
GAUGAACGCUGGCGGCGUGCCUAAUACAUGCAAGUCGAGCGAACCCUUCGGGGUGAGCGGCGGACGGGUGAGUAACGCGUGGAUAACCUGCCCUAUACACACGGAUAACGUACCGAAAGGUACGCUAAUACGGGAUAAAGUUGUUGGAUGGCAUCUUCUAACAAUCAAAGCUCCGGCGGUAUAGGAUGGACCCGCGUCUGAUUAGCUAGUUGGUGAGGUAAUGGCUCACCAAGGCGACGAUCAGUAGCCGACCUGAGAGGGUGAUCGGCCACACUGGAACUGAGACACGGUCCAGACUCCUACGGGAGGCAGCAGUGGGGAAUAUUGCACAACGGGCGAAAGCCUGAUGCAGCAACGCCGCGUGAGCGAUGAAGGUCUUCGGAUCGUAAAGCUCUGUCCUCAAGGAAGAUAAUGACGGUACUUGAGGAGGAAGCCCCGGCUAACUACGUGCCAGCCGCCGCGGUAA